This 254-nucleotide ribosomal RNA is filed under the name uncultured bacterium. RNAcentral describes it as "partial 16S ribosomal RNA". It matches the Rfam family "Bacterial small subunit ribosomal RNA", at positions 524 to 776 of the family's 1533-position model. The record is from RNAcentral.
UACAGAGGUCUCAAGCGUUGUUCGGAUUCAUUGGGCGUAAAGGGUGCGUAGGCGGCGCGGUAAGUCGGGUGUGAAAUCUCGGAGCUUAACUCCGAAACUGCAUUCGAUACUGCCGUGCUUGAGGACUGGAGAGGAGACUGGAAUUUACGGUGUAGCGGUGAAAUGCGUAGAUAUCUGGAGGAACACCGGUGGCGAAGGCGGCAUCCUGGACCAACACUGACGCUGAGGGAGCGAAAGCCAGGGGAGCAAACGGG